RNAcentral lists this long non-coding RNA (439 nucleotides) under Amborella trichopoda. Its description in RNAcentral is "long non-coding RNA (ATRI_LNC005016)". The record is from RNAcentral. Lineage: Eukaryota; Viridiplantae; Streptophyta; Magnoliopsida; Amborellales; Amborellaceae.
UUGGGCAGCUCGGCUGAGUUAGAGUGGACUCCCCCGAGUCUCGUACUGCUCUCAUCCAUAACUUGAUGAAAUGGUGAUAAACAGUUAUGACUACAUUAUUUCUUCAAUUAUAUGGAUCAUAUUGUACUCUAGUCAGUGUUCAGCGGGAAAUAUCGCGAAAACAUUUUUUCUUGGUCACUUCGUUUUUAUGCAUUUAUUGUUUUUUGUUCUCCACUUUGAAUUCCAUUGCUCAGUUUUUAGUUCUCCUCAGAAGAUUUCAUUUAUUUUUCAUAAUUAUUUUCAUUGACGUCAAAAAGAGAAAAAAGUUUCAAUUUUAGUAAAUGAAUUCCGAGUGCUAUUUCUAUCAAUAUUUUACACAUUGUUUCUCCUUUAAUUUGUUCUCCAUAUGUUUAUUUUUCAGUAUAUGAAAACCCUGGCAAAUUGCAUUCUUUAUAUGUGC